RNAcentral lists this ribosomal RNA (472 nucleotides) under Psychrobacter sp. ARK-17. Its description in RNAcentral is "bacterial SSU rRNA". It matches the Rfam family "Bacterial small subunit ribosomal RNA", at positions 38 to 500 of the family's 1533-position model. The record is from RNAcentral. Lineage: Bacteria; Pseudomonadati; Pseudomonadota; Gammaproteobacteria; Moraxellales; Moraxellaceae.
GGCGGCAGGCUUAACACAUGCAAGUCGAGCGGAAACGAUGGUAGCUUGCUACCAGGCGUCGAGCGGCGGACGGGUGAGUAAUACUUAGGAAUCUACCUAGUAGUGGGGGAUAGCACGGGGAAACUCGUAUUAAUACCGCAUACGACCUACGGGAGAAAGGGGGCAGUUUACUGCUCUCGCUAUUAGAUGAGCCUAAGUCGGAUUAGCUAGAUGGUGGGGUAAAGGCCUACCAUGGCGACGAUCUGUAGCUGGUCUGAGAGGAUGAUCAGCCACACCGGGACUGAGACACGGCCCGGACUCCUACGGGAGGCAGCAGUGGGGAAUAUUGGACAAUGGGGGAAACCCUGAUCCAGCCAUGCCGCGUGUGUGAAGACAGGCCUUUUGGUUGUAAAGCUACUUUAAGCAGUGAAGAAGACUCUUCGGUUAAUACCUCGGAGRGGAWGACAUUAGCUGCAGAAUAAGCACCGGCUAA